Molecule: ribosomal RNA, 253 nt
Filed under: uncultured bacterium
Lineage: Bacteria
Description: partial 16S ribosomal RNA
Rfam family: Bacterial small subunit ribosomal RNA
Source: RNAcentral
UACGUAGGGGGCUAGCGUUGUCCGGAUUUAUUGGGCGUAAAGAGCGUGUAGGCGGCCAGGUAGGUCUGCUGUGAAAACUCGAGGCUUAACCUCGAGCUGUCGGCGGAAACCAUCUGGCUAGAGUCCGGAAGAGGAGAAUGGAAUUCCCGGUGUAGCGGUGAAAUGCGCAGAUAUCGGGAAGAACACCCGUGGCGAAGGCGGGUCUCUGGACAGUUCCUGACGCUGAGGCACGAAGGCCAGGGGAGCAAACGGG